CAUUUCAAUGGUAUAUAAGGUAAGCUUAGCAGACCCUUCCAUCAAUCUCACUUAGCCAAUUUGAUGAAUUAUGUUUUGAUUAGAUCGCUAAGUGAUUCAAGUUAACUCAUGCCAUUAAGAUUGAUCAGUGUGACUGAUUUAGGUGCCAGAUCGACCAGCAUGACUUUAAUCCGAUUUAAUGACUUGACGAAGUCAGUAGAAGGAUUAUGGUUUACUGGUUGAUCUCUUCUUUUCUCUUUUCUUAAUUCAUAAAUUAAAUCUUCUAAAUUAUUAAGUUUUUUAAAUGAGAUAGUUAUGGUGAU
This 302-nucleotide long non-coding RNA is filed under the name Elaeis guineensis (African oil palm). RNAcentral's name for it is "long non-coding RNA (EGUI_LNC043423)". Lineage: Eukaryota; Viridiplantae; Streptophyta; Magnoliopsida; Arecales; Arecaceae. The record is from RNAcentral.